GACAGUACUGACGCUGAGAUGCGAAGCGUGGGGAGCAAACAGGAUUAGAUACCUGGUAGUCCACGCUGUAAACGAUGUCGAUUUGGAGUUUGUUGCCUAGAGUGAUGGGCUCCGAAGCUAACGCGAUAAAUCGACCGCUGGGGAGUACGGCCGCAAGGUUAAAACUCAAAUGAAUUGACGGGGGCCCGCACAAGCGGUGGAGCAUGUGGUUUAAUUCGAUGCAACGCGAAGAACCUUACCUGGUCUUGACAUCCAUAGAAUUCUGCAGAGAUGUGGGAGUGCCUUCGGGAACUAUGAGACAGGUGCUGCAUGGCUGUCGUCAGCUCGUGUUGUGAAAUGUUGGGUUAAGUCCCGCAACGAGCGCAACCCUUAUUCUUUGUUGCCAGCGAUUUGGUCGGGAACUCAAAGGAGACUGCCGUUGAUAAAGCGGAGGAAGGUGGGGACGACGUCAAGUCAUCAUGGCCCUUACGACCAGGGCUACACACGUGCUACAAUGGCGUAUACAAAGGGAAGCGAAGGUGCGAGCUGGAGCGGAUCUCAUAAAGUACGUCUAAGUUCGGAUUGGAGUCUGCAACUCGACUCCAUGAAGUCGGAAUCGCUAGUAAUCGUAGAUCAGAAUGCUACGGUGAAUACGUUCCCGGGCCUUGUACACACCGCCCGUCACACCAUGGGAGUGGGUUGCACCAGAAGUAGAUAGCUUAACCGCGAGGGGGGCGUUUACCACGGUGUGAUUCAUGACUGGGGUGAAGUCGUAACAAGGUAACCA
RNAcentral lists this ribosomal RNA (766 nucleotides) under uncultured Enterobacteriaceae bacterium. Its description in RNAcentral is "bacterial SSU rRNA". It matches the Rfam family "Bacterial small subunit ribosomal RNA", at positions 733 to 1502 of the family's 1533-position model. The record is from RNAcentral. Lineage: Bacteria; Pseudomonadati; Pseudomonadota; Gammaproteobacteria; Enterobacterales; Enterobacteriaceae.